RNAcentral lists this ribosomal RNA (230 nucleotides) under uncultured microorganism. RNAcentral describes it as "partial 16S ribosomal RNA". It matches the Rfam family "Bacterial small subunit ribosomal RNA", at positions 524 to 753 of the family's 1533-position model. The record is from RNAcentral.
UACGGAGGGAGCUAGCGUUGUUCGGAAUUACUGGGCGUAAAGCGCACGUAGGCGGCGAUUCAAGUCAGAGGUGAAAGCCCGGGGCUCAACCCCGGAACUGCCUUUGAAACUAGAUUGCUAGAAUCCUGGAGAGGUUAGUGGAAUUCCGAGUGUAGAGGUGAAAUUCGUAGAUAUUCGGAAGAACACCAGUGGCGAAGGCGACUAACUGGACAGGUAUUGACGCUGAGGUG